RNAcentral lists this ribosomal RNA (465 nucleotides) under uncultured Klebsiella sp. RNAcentral describes it as "bacterial SSU rRNA". It matches the Rfam family "Bacterial small subunit ribosomal RNA", at positions 338 to 795 of the family's 1533-position model. The record is from RNAcentral. Lineage: Bacteria; Pseudomonadati; Pseudomonadota; Gammaproteobacteria; Enterobacterales; Enterobacteriaceae.
CCUACGGGCGGCAGCAGUGGGGAAUAUUGCACAAUGGGCGCAAGCCUGAUGCAGCCAUGCCGCGUGUGUGAAGAAGGCCUUCGGGUUGUAAAGCACUUUCAGCGGGGAGGAAGGCGUUAAGGUUAAUAACCCUGUCGAUUGACGUUACCCGCAGAAGAAGCACCGGCUAACUCCGUGCCAGCAGCCGCGGUAAUACGGAGGGUGCAAGCGUUAAUCGGAAUUACUGGGCGUAAAGCGCACGCAGGCGGUCUGUCAAGUCGGAUGUGAAAUCCCCGGGCUCAACCUGGGAACUGCAUUCGAAACUGGCAGGCUAGAGUCUUGUAGAGGGGGGUAGAAUUCCAGGUGUAGCGGUGAAAUGCGUAGAGAUCUGGAGGAAUACCGGUGGCGAAGGCGGCCCCCUGGACAAAGACUGACGCUCAGGUGCGAAAGCGUGGGGAGCAAACAGGAUUAGAUACCCGAGUAGUC